Delphinapterus leucas (beluga whale) is the source of this 631-nucleotide non-coding RNA. NCBI's taxonomy places the organism in Eukaryota, Metazoa, Chordata, Mammalia, Artiodactyla, Monodontidae. The record is from RefSeq and is a predicted model, not a curated record.
AGCCAGAGUGAUGUCCACGGAAGGACAGUGGGCCGCGUGGGGUGCUGCGGCGGUCUUGGCAGGACAAGGGCGGACCCCGUGGUGCGUGAAAAGCCGUCCGGGGGUGCUCUGCCUGUUCCGAGCCCCCGGCCUCUCGGGAGCCGUCCCUGGGUAGCUGAGAGGCCUGGCUCCCUUUUAAUUUGUAACAGAAGACUUUUCACCCCGUUGGUGCACUUCUCUGGGGCCGUCCGGGUAAGCCUCCAGACGGCCAAGCGGUUUACCAGACUGAAGCCCAGGGGAAAGAUUUAGGAGUCAUCACCUUAGAGAUGAUGUGUAUCACCGUGAAAUCACCACGAGACCUUCUAAGAAGUGGGUUUCGUAGAGAACUUGAGACGUCAAAGGACUGAACCCUUGAGUAAUGUAACUUAGGAUGUGUUCUGGGGAAGGGGAACACUCUGGCUCCCUCUGGAGGAACAGCUCUCAACCUUCUCUUCAUAACCCAUGUGACAGAUGACACUCACCGGCAGGACACACUCUCAAAGCACAGUACCUUGAAAAGUGCAGUAGUGCAGUACAACAGCUGGCAUCCAGGGACUGGCAUCGAGGAAACAGGCGAGAAGAGUUACUGACUGGAGGAGGGAGAGGAGUGGGA